RNAcentral lists this unclassified non-coding RNA (391 nucleotides) under soil metagenome. RNAcentral's name for it is "partial contains 5.8S ribosomal RNA, internal transcribed spacer 2, and large subunit ribosomal RNA". The stretch from base 1 to 122 matches the Rfam family "5.8S ribosomal RNA", at positions 35 to 154 of the family's 154-position model. The record is from RNAcentral.
GAUGAAGAACGUAGCGAAAUGCGAUACUUGGUGUGAAUUGCAGAAUCCCGUGAACCAUCGAGUCUUUGAACGCAAGUUGCGCCCGAAGCCACUAGGCCGAGGGCACGCCUGCCUGGGCGUCACACGCCGUUGCCCCCCCAUCUACUCCUUCGGGAUUGCGGGGGGGCGGAUGAUGGCCUCCUGUGCGCCUAGCCGCGCGGUUGGCAUAAAUACCAAGUCCUCGGCGACGCACGCCACGACAAUCGGUGGUUGCGAAACCUCGGUUGCCCGUCGUGUGCGUUCGUCGGGCAUCGAGGGCUCGAAAAAAUGCUCGGCUCCGGCUGGGCUUUCAACGCGACCCCAGGUCAGGCGGGGUUACCCGCUGAAUUUAAGCAUAUCAAUAAGCGGAGGA